UACAGAGGUCUCAAGCGUUGUUCGGAUUCAUUGGGCGUAAAGGGUGCGUAGGUGGCGGGGCAAGUUUGGUGUGAAAUCCCGGGGCUCAACCCCGGAACUGCACUGAAUACUGCCUUGCUUGAGCACUGGAGAGGGAACUGGAAUUUACGGUGUAGCAGUGAAAUGCGUAGAUAUCGUAAGGAAGACCAGUGGCGAAGGCGAGUUCCUGGACAGUUGCUGAUACUGAGGCACGAAGGCUAGGGGAGCAAACGGG
RNAcentral lists this ribosomal RNA (253 nucleotides) under uncultured bacterium. RNAcentral describes it as "partial 16S ribosomal RNA". It matches the Rfam family "Bacterial small subunit ribosomal RNA", at positions 524 to 776 of the family's 1533-position model. The record is from RNAcentral.